GAAGGAAGAAGAGGAGGAAAGACAGUCUUAUCUGGAUUGCAAGGCACAGUGAUGACUUGGAGCUCAUCUCCCAGCCUCUGCAGAGUUCUCCUCCGCAGAUUCCCCGUCAGCACUGUCUUUAGUGUCCCCUCUACUAACUUGGAAGGCAGCCACCUCCACAUCCACUGGAGACAUGAUUGUUGGAAAAGCCCCUGUGCCAGCUAGUUCUAUGUCAACCUGAUAGACGCCGAGUGAUUUGAGAGGUGGGCACAUCAGCGGAGAAAUCGCUUCAGUGAGACUGGACAGCAGGCAAACCUGUAGCAAUGCUGGGGCAUUUCCUUUACUAGGAGUUGAUGGGGGAAUCCCAGCCCACUGUGGCUGGCUCCAUCCCUGGGCUGGUGGUCCUGGCUUCUGUAAGAACGCAGACUGAUGAUGUCACGAUGCAAGCCAGGAAUCAGCACCCUCCAUGGCCUCGGUUUCAUCUCCUUCCUCCAGUUUCCUGCCUACCUGAAUUCCUUCCUGCCUUGGUUUCCCUCAAGGAUCUAUGAUUGGGAAGUAUAAACCAAAAAUACCCUUUCCUCCCCUAGUUGCUUUUAGCUGUGAUAUUUUAUCCCAUAAAAGAAAAGAAACUAGCUAAGACAUCGUCUGUAGGGCAGUGUCUAGUGUGACGCAGUAGUUUCCUGAAUUAGAAGAAUGGACACGGGUGACAUUAUCGAUCAGGAGACUGCGGCGUUAUUUUAAAUAAGAGAUUAUUAUGUGGUUGCUUUAAAUGUCUAGAGAAGAGUCUCUGAUUACACAUCCCGACUUGUGUUUUACCUGGAUCUUAAAAGGACAAUAAAAGCAUCUUUCUGUACACUCAA
Molecule: long non-coding RNA, 839 nt
Organism: Mus musculus (house mouse)
Lineage: Eukaryota; Metazoa; Chordata; Mammalia; Rodentia; Muridae
Product: predicted gene, 41248
Exons: 2
Source: RefSeq, a predicted model, not a curated record